RNAcentral lists this ribosomal RNA (253 nucleotides) under uncultured bacterium. Its description in RNAcentral is "partial 16S ribosomal RNA". It matches the Rfam family "Bacterial small subunit ribosomal RNA", at positions 524 to 776 of the family's 1533-position model. The record is from RNAcentral.
UACGAAGGGGGCUAGCGUUAUCCGGAAUUAUUGGGCGUAAAGAGCUCGUAGGCGGUUUGUCGCGUCUGCCGUGAAAGUCCGGGGCUCAACUCCGGAUCUGCGGUGGGUACGGGCAGACUAGAGUGAUGUAGGGGAGACUGGAAUUCCUGGUGUAGCGGUGAAAUGCGCAGAUAUCAGGAGGAACACCGAUGGCGAAGGCAGGUCUCUGGGCAUUAACUGACGCUGAGGAGCGAAAGCAUGGGGAGCGAACGGG